Molecule: long non-coding RNA, 809 nt
Filed under: Homo sapiens (human)
Lineage: Eukaryota; Metazoa; Chordata; Mammalia; Primates; Hominidae
Description: HSALNT0398480
Source: RNAcentral
AGCGAUUCUCCUACCUCAGCCUCCCAAGUAGCUGAGAUUACAGAUAUGGCAAUGACCCUUGGCCAGUCUCUGGGAACUAAACUCCUGGGAUGUUUACACAGGUGCUGGGUAAGAUGUUCUUCCAUAUGCUCAAGACCACGGGUCAAGAUGUACUAGGCUGUCAGCAUUGUUGACUGUAAAUAUGAAGAUGCAUGAUGGGCACCUGGUACCUGGAUUGGAGUUCUCACUCUGUUCAUGUAGCAGGAAAAGACUGUGACCAGCUUCACAAAAGGCAGCAAAGGACUAUCAGAGAAAGAGAACUCCGAGUGAGGGGUCUGGCCUAGGCCCGGGAUCGGACCAGGCUCCCUCAGGACCCCAUCCUUUCCUGCCCGGACCGUGAAUUCAUCUCCUUGAAGCCAUAACGUCCGAGCUGCUGGUGCGGGGCAGCCCUGGCCCUAGGCUUCCUACCCCUGGAAGCGAGAGGAUGAGAGGAGGCCGGCCCAGCUCCUUCUUUCAGGGUGGGGGGCAUUCAGCCUCCACUGUGUCUGUCUUUUCUUCCCUGGGGCUCCCCCUCGAGGCGAGGGGCCAUGCAUGUCUGGGGGACCCCUGCCCCCCAAAACCCUCUGUCUGUCUCUGUCUCUUUGCUGUUUGUCCAAGACUCAGUGUCCCGACCCUUGUUCUCGCCGUGAAUGUCAAUGGGCCAAUCCUCUCUGUCCUUUCAGACACACACACACCUGUGUCCACCCCUUCUGUUCGCCACACCCUGCGUCUGGCCGGUCCCCCCACUGCUGCUGCUAUCAACGCCAGAAUAAACACACUCCGUGGGUCUC